This 254-nucleotide ribosomal RNA is filed under the name uncultured bacterium. RNAcentral's name for it is "partial 16S ribosomal RNA". It matches the Rfam family "Bacterial small subunit ribosomal RNA", at positions 524 to 776 of the family's 1533-position model. The record is from RNAcentral.
UACGGGGGGAGCAAGCGUUGUUCGGAUUUACUGGGCGUAAAGGGCGCGUAGGCGGUCAGCACAAGUCAGUUGUGAAAUCUCCGGGCUUAACUCGGAAAGGUCAACUGAUACUGUGCGACUAGAGUGCGGAAGGGGCAACUGGAAUUCUUGGUGUAGCGGUGAAAUGCGUAGAUAUCGAGAGGAACACCUGCGGCGAAGGCGGGUUGCUGGGCCGACACUGACGCUGAUGCGCGAAAGCCAGGGGAGCGAACGGG